UGGAAUGUAAGGAAGUGUGUG
This 21-nucleotide non-coding RNA is filed under the name Oryzias latipes (Japanese medaka). Its record names the gene ola-miR-206. The record is from miRBase by way of RNAcentral. RNAcentral also lists the same sequence under 4 other names. Lineage: Eukaryota; Metazoa; Chordata; Actinopteri; Beloniformes; Adrianichthyidae.